AGAACGAACGCUGGCGGCAGGCUUAACACAUGCAAGUCGAACGGUUGUAGCAAUACAGCAGUGGCAGACGGGUGAGUAACACGUGGGAACCUUCCUAGGGGUACGGAACAACUCAGGGAAACUUGAGCUAAUACCGUAUACGUCCGUGAGGAGAAAGAUUUAUCGCCCCUAGACGGGCCCGCGUAGGAUUAGGUAGUUGGUGAGGUAACGGCUCACCAAGCCUACGAUCCUUAGCUGAUCUGAGAGGAUGAUCAGCCACACUGGGACUGAGACACGGCCCAGACUCCUACGGGAGGCAGCAGUGGGGAAUCUUGGACAAUGGGCGCAAGCCUGAUCCAGCCAUGCCGCGUGAGUGAAGAAGGCCUUCGGGUGUAAAGCUCUUUUACCAGGGACGAUAAUGACGGUACCUGGAGAAUAAGCCCCGCAAACUUCGUGCCAGCAGCCGC
Molecule: ribosomal RNA, 446 nt
Filed under: uncultured soil bacterium
Lineage: Bacteria
Description: bacterial SSU rRNA
Rfam family: Bacterial small subunit ribosomal RNA
Source: RNAcentral